Molecule: ribosomal RNA, 463 nt
Filed under: uncultured bacterium
Lineage: Bacteria
Description: bacterial SSU rRNA
Rfam family: Bacterial small subunit ribosomal RNA
Source: RNAcentral
CCAGACUCCUACGGGAGGCAGCAGUGGGGAAUAUUGCACAAUGGGCGAAAGCCUGAUGCAGCAACGCCGCGUGAAGGAAGAAGGCGCCAGGCGUCGUAAACUUCUUUUGUCGGGGAACAAAGGGCGCCACGCGUGGCGUUGUGAGUGUACCCGAAGAAAAAGCAUCGGCUAACUCCGUGCCAGCAGCCGCGGUAAUACGGAGGAUGCGAGCGUUAUCCGGAAUUACUGGGUGUAAAGGGAGCGUAGGCGGGCUUGUAAGUUGAAUGUCUAAUCCACCGGCUCAACCGGUGAUCGCGUUCAAAACUGCAGGUCUUGAGUGAAGUAGAGGCAGGCGGAAUUCCUAGUGUAGCGGUGAAAUGCGUAGAUAUUAGGAGGAACACCAGUGGCGAAGGCGGCCUGCUGGGCUUUAACUGACGCUGAGGCUCGAAAGCGUGGGGAGCAAACAGGAUUAGAUACCCGAGUA